RNAcentral lists this ribosomal RNA (427 nucleotides) under uncultured bacterium. Its description in RNAcentral is "partial 16S ribosomal RNA". It matches the Rfam family "Bacterial small subunit ribosomal RNA", at positions 355 to 774 of the family's 1533-position model. The record is from RNAcentral.
UGGGGAAUAUUGCACAAUGGGCGCAAGCCUGAUGCAGCCAUGCCGCGUGUAUGAAGAAGGCCUUCGGGUUGUAAAGUACUUUCAGUGAGGAGGAAGGAGUUGUGGUUAAUAACCGCAACGAUUGACGUUACUCGCAGAAGAAGCACCGGCUAACUCCGUGCCAGCAGCCGCGGUAAUACGGAGGGUGCAAGCGUUAAUCGGAAUUACUGGGCGUAAAGCGCACGCAGGCGGUCUGUCAAGUCGGAUGUGAAAUCCCCGGGCUCAACCUGGGAACUGCAUCCGAAACUGGCAGGCUAGAGUCUUGUAGAGGGGGGUAGAAUUCCAGGUGUAGCGGUGAAAUGCGUAGAGAUCUGGAGGAAUACCGGUGGCGAAGGCGGCCCCCUGGACAAAGACUGACGCUCAGGUGCGAAAGCGUGGGGAGCAAACA